Molecule: transfer RNA, 77 nt
Filed under: Bacillus pumilus
Lineage: Bacteria; Bacillati; Bacillota; Bacilli; Caryophanales; Bacillaceae
Description: tRNA-Gly
Rfam family: tRNA
About the family: Transfer RNA (tRNA) molecules are approximately 80 nucleotides in length. Their secondary structure includes four short double-helical elements and three loops (D, anti-codon, and T loops).
Source: RNAcentral
GGAAGUAGUUCAGUGGUAGAACACCACCUUGCCAAGGUGGGGGUCGCGGGUUCGAAUCCCGUCUUCCGCUUAUACCA